Molecule: RNA transcript, 2780 nt
Organism: Vigna angularis (adzuki bean)
Lineage: Eukaryota; Viridiplantae; Streptophyta; Magnoliopsida; Fabales; Fabaceae
Gene name: phosphoenolpyruvate carboxylase-like
Exons: 9
Source: RefSeq, a predicted model, not a curated record
UCGAACCAUUAUGCCUAUUCUUCUCAAAACCCUCUAGCUUUUCUCUCUUCCUCGAACCCUAUUCUUCUCAAAACCCCUGAUCUUCUCUCUAUCCCUCGAACCCUAUUUGAUCUCUCUCUCAAACCCUCGCGAUUUCACAUCUCUCUCUGGAGCCCUCUUUGCUCUCAUUGUCCCUCUCUCAAGCCCUAUUCGCCUCGCUGUCCCUCUCCCGAGCCCUCUUCACUGUCGCUGUCCCUCUCUCAAACCCUUGCUUCUUCCCCCUUUCUCUCUCGAACUGUCGUCGCAUAAUAACACAGCAAUGUCGUUGUCCUUCGUUGAUGAAGCAAUCACCUUCAUCGUUCGUUUCGGAGUCGUAGUUCGACGCUGAGAGAGUACCUUCAUCCACCCUAGGUUCGUGAUAAUACUCCAGGAGCGGGAAGGGUUCGGAGAGGAGUGAAAAAUAGGAAGAUUGUUCGGUGAGAAAUGCGAAUUAGGUCACGUGUUCGGUGGAAAAGGAAGAUUCAACGGCUGAAUCGGUGAAAUGGUGCAAAAAUGAGGAUGUAAUCGGUGGAUUCGAUGGAGAAGGCUAUAGUGAUUUAUCAGAAAAUAUUCCGGAAUUUAUGUUCUUUCUCUUCUCUUCGACAUUUAUGUAAAUGUUUUUGUGCAGGUUCAAGAAGUGUACGAAAUUUCAGCUGAGUAUGAAGAAAAGCGUGACCCUAAGAAACUGGAAGAAUUUGGAAAUAUGAUAACUAGUUUGGAUGCAGGGGACUCUAUUGUUGUUGCCAUGUCCUUUUCCCACAUGCUUAACUUGGCCAACUUGGCUGAGGAGGUCCAAAUUUCUCGUCGUCGAAGGAAAAAGGUGAAGAAAGGACAUUUUGCAGAUGAGAACAAUGCAACUACAGAUGAAAUCAAGAGGACCCCCCUAAGACCACAAGAUGAGCUGAGACCAGGGAUGAGCUACUUCCAUGAAACAAUUUGGAAUGGUGUUUCCAGAUUUCAUCAAGCAAUCUGCACCUUUUUAAGGAGUUAUGGAAAUGAUAUGAUUAACAUCGACCAUUGUUGUUACCAUCAUUUAAGAGUAUUAAUCCAUCUAAAUAGAUGAAGGAGGCACAAUGAUAAUGUUCUUUUGUUUUGGCAAGUCAAGCCUAUUGUACAUGUUUUUCAGGUGAUACUCCUGACUUAAUUUUGUUGCAUACGUGUUGGUCUCAGUCUCAUUUCCUUGGUUGUCAUAUCCUUAUGAGUAUGAAGAGGGAUAGAUUUAGCUCCUCUAAACUUAGCGAGGAAGGUUCAUGUGAGGAUAUAAGCUCUGAUGGUACAUAUAAAAUUGUCAUUGAAACAGUCAUGCCUCGAGUUUUCCACUGAAAAUUGGCUCUGGCACUGUUAGUUUUUUCUCAUUUGUAGUCCCAAAAUGGACUUGGCAUGCUUUUUCUGAUUUAUUUGAGAAGAAAGAGAUGUGGCCUUGUGAAGCUUGUGGGUUGAACAUUCCUUAUAAGAUGUUAAAGAAGAAAAAGGAUUUAAGGGUCGGGGGCCAAUUCCUAUGUAGAACAUAAAAGAGUUUUUAACAAAAUCAAAGCAUUAUUGUGGCAUAUGCAAGAAAGUUUGGGAUCUUCAGAUAGUGGAAGUUGGGUGCAUUGUGAUGGAUGGAGAGGAGUGUGAGUGCAUGCACAGGGAAUACCCAUUACUUGGUAUUUUGUCUCUUUGGAGGAAGAGGGUAGAGGACCAUGAAGAACAUUGGAAGAAGUUGUUAAAAGGGAUGUCACAGGGAAUAAUUCUCUAAGAAUUUGUUUUUUGACUGUACCCAAUGGUGUAAUCCAUAUAGUUGACAUAGUUUAAUGAAUUAAGAAUUUUGUUGUUGUUUUCAGCUUAAUAGUAUGGCAUUUUAGCAUUAUGAUAAACUGGAAAAAAAGAAUUUUAUAAUUCUUUCAUGAUGAAUCAACCAUUGAUAAAAUAUAAUUCAUUAUCUUUGAAGACUAGUUGCUUCCAUUUUUAUAAUCUAGAGCUGGAACAAGAUCCAGAUUUCAUAAUGUUGUCUCGCCAAUUCAAAGCUACUGUUAUGGAGCUUAUUUAUGUUUUAGAGCUGGUAAAGCUUUUACCUUCAGCACUUAACAUUUACUGAUAAUAUAGAAUUUUGAUUUGAGUAUUUAGCUCUAGAAAACCUAGGAUAAUAUAAAUAUUAGUUGAAUAUUACCAUUUCAGUCUAUGCGUGCCUAAAAUAUUUUGGGUUAUUCAUGUUAACUUCUGUUUUAUAGUUAUAUGUAUAAACUAUUAAUUUUAAUAUUUUGGGAUUGUCAUCUUUUUGUGUUGCAUUUGUAUUUAAUUACUAAAAAUUCCUUGCUUGUUUGUAGAAACAAAGAACUGGUUGAAGGGUUGCAAUUAAGGGUCACCUUAUGAGUGGCAAGUUUACAGGUUAAUUCUAUAUGGAUGGUACAAUUUUAAGAUUUGGGGAGUUGAAGGGACCAGGGGCAAUGAUUGAACAAGUUAAAGGGUUUUCGUAUUCAGUUUUUUCUCUUCAUGGUGCAAGCCCUUUCCUUCCAACAUCAGAUGCUGAUGUGAAGCAUAAUGAAUCAAUAACAACUACUUAGAAGAGCAAGAAGUCAUGGUGGGGAGUUUUGAAAUAUUAGUGGUAGUAGUUAUGAACAUUCUUUUAGAUAUUUUUCUCUUUUUCAUAUUUUUCUUAAUAUUUUAUAUUUUAUUGUAAAAGUUAAAUUUGAGUGUUAUGAGAUAUUAAUAUUAAGGAGUUGUAUUUAUUUCUUUGAACUCUCUUUAUAGAGUAUUCAAAUAAAAUUUUCAUGUUUUAAUUA